RNAcentral lists this non-coding RNA (118 nucleotides) under Gorilla gorilla gorilla (western lowland gorilla). Lineage: Eukaryota; Metazoa; Chordata; Mammalia; Primates; Hominidae. The record is from Rfam by way of RNAcentral.
GCUGGGCGUGGUGGCUCAUGCCUGUAAUCCCAGCAACUUUGAGAGGCUGAGAUGGGCGGAUCACCUGAGGUCAGGAGUUCGAGACCGGCCUGACCAACAUGGUGAAACCCCAUCUCUA